This 558-nucleotide long non-coding RNA is filed under the name Pectinophora gossypiella (pink bollworm). RNAcentral describes it as "uncharacterized LOC126381119". Lineage: Eukaryota; Metazoa; Arthropoda; Insecta; Lepidoptera; Gelechiidae. The record is from RNAcentral.
AUGAAAUUAAAAAAUACAGACUAAUUUUGUAUGUUAUUUUUAUUAAUUGAUAAUAUUUUUAGUUAAUCACUUUGUAAAGUCUUACAAAUGUUUAAAACAAAAGGAAAAUGCAACGACGGAUUUUUCUUUUGCAACUGAAGUAAUGAAACGCAAAAAAAAAGAAAAAUGACGUUAUGUUAUAUCAGCUGACAUACUUGAAUUCGCGCCGAAUGCAACAGUUUUAUCUUCUCAGAAUUUAUACAAUAACAACAAUAACGAAAGAAAUAUCACCGAUUUACUACCUACUAGAUCUAGAGAGUCGGAGGCUAGACAUGGAGGAGCGACUUGUUUCAGCAGUCGACAAGCUGGCUGGCUACAGCUGCUGAAGCUAAUAGCAAGGCCGCGGAUAUGCAAACAGAGUUGCUUCGGCUGCUGCUGGAGGAAGUUAGGUGAAGACCAAUAUAAGGUUAAAGAAUAGCAGCAUGACAAUUCUCAAGAACAAAGACACUAGAGAAACUAAGUUAAAAUACUUAAGUAAAAACAUAUGUAUUCAAUAAACUUAAAUGUAAAUAUUUAAGC